UCGCGUGUCUCAGAGUUUGAUCCUGGCUCAGGAUGAACGCUGGCGGCGUGCCUAACACAUGCAAGUCAACGGGGUUAGUAUGUCAGAAGUUUUCGGAUGGAAGAUAUGUAACCUAGUGGCGGACGGGUGAGUAACGCGUGAGUAACCUGCCUCAUAGCGGGGGAUAACAGAGAGAAAUCACUGCUAAUACCGCAUAAGCACACGAGGUCGCAUGGCCUAGGGUGAAAAGAUUUAUCACUAUGAGAUGGACUCGCGUCUGAUUAGCUAGUUGGCGGGGUAAAGGCCCACCAAGGCGACGAUCAGUAGCCGAUCUGAGAGGAUGGACGGCCACAUUGGGACUGAGACACGGCCCAG
This 354-nucleotide ribosomal RNA is filed under the name uncultured bacterium. Its description in RNAcentral is "bacterial SSU rRNA". It matches the Rfam family "Bacterial small subunit ribosomal RNA", at positions 1 to 334 of the family's 1533-position model. The record is from RNAcentral.